GUGAGGAAUAUUGGUCAAUGGGCGAGAGCCUGAACCAGCCAAGUCGCGUGAAGGAAGAAGGAUCUAUGGUUCGUAAACUUCUUUUGCAGGGGAAUAAAGUGCGGGACGUGUCCUGUUUUGUAUGUACCCUGAGAAUAAGGAUCGGCUAACUCCGUGCCAGCAGCCGCGGUAAUACGGAGGAUCCGAGCGUUAUCCGGAUUUAUUGGGUUUAAAGGGUGCGUAGGUGGUUUGAUAAGUCAGCGGUGAAAGUUUGCAGCUUAACUGUAAAAAUGCCGUUGAAACUGUCGGACUUGAGUGUAAAUGAGGUAGGCGGAAUGCGUGGUGUAGCGGUGAAAUGCAUAGAUAUCACGCAGAACUCCGAUUGCGAAGGCAGCUUACUAAGCUACAACUGACACUGAAGCACGAAAGCGUGGGUAUCAAACAGGAUUAGAAACCCCAGUAGUCC
RNAcentral lists this ribosomal RNA (445 nucleotides) under uncultured bacterium. RNAcentral describes it as "partial 16S ribosomal RNA". It matches the Rfam family "Bacterial small subunit ribosomal RNA", at positions 354 to 796 of the family's 1533-position model. The record is from RNAcentral.